GAUGAACGCUGGCGGCGUGCCUAAUACAUGCAAGUCGAGCGAACGGACGAGAAGCUUGCUUCUCUGAUGUUAGCGGCGGACGGGUGAGUAACACGUGGAUAACCUACCUAUAAGACUGGGAUAACUUCGGGAAACCGGAGCUAAUACCGGAUAAUAUUUUGAACCGCAUGGUUCAAAAGUGAAAGACGGUCUUGCUGUCACUUAUAGAUGGAUCCGCGCUGCAUUAGCUAGUUGGUAAGGUAACGGCUUACCAAGGCAACGAUGCAUAGCCGACCUGAGAGGGUGAUCGGCCACAGUGGAAGUGAGACACGGUCGAGACUCCUACGGGAGGCAGCAGUAGGGAAUCUUGCGCAAUGGGCGAGAGCCUGACGGAGCAACGCGGCGUGAGUGCUGAAGGUCUUCGGAUCGUAAGACUCUGUUAUUGGGGAAGAACAGAUGUGUAAGUAACUGUGCACAUCUUGACGGUACCUGAUCAGAAAGCCACGGCUAACUACGUG
Molecule: ribosomal RNA, 497 nt
Filed under: uncultured bacterium
Lineage: Bacteria
Description: partial 16S ribosomal RNA
Rfam family: Bacterial small subunit ribosomal RNA
Source: RNAcentral